RNAcentral lists this ribosomal RNA (1114 nucleotides) under uncultured bacterium. RNAcentral describes it as "bacterial SSU rRNA". It matches the Rfam family "Bacterial small subunit ribosomal RNA", at positions 74 to 1163 of the family's 1533-position model. The record is from RNAcentral.
UCGCAAGGAUUCGGAGCGACUAGUGGCGAACGGGUGAGUAAUGUGUGGGUGAUCUACCCUGGGGACGGGGAUAGCCCGCCGAAAGGCGGAGUAAUACCAGAUACGGUCCUAUGGUUGGAACCGAAGGAUCAAAGGAUGGCCUCUGCUUGCAAGCCAUCGCCCAAGGAGGAGCCCACAUCCUAUCAGCUAGUUGGCGGGGUAAUGGCCCACCAAGGCUAUGACGGGUAGCUGGUCUGAGAGGACGGCCAGCCACACUGGGACUGAGAUACGGCCCAGACUCCUACGGGAGGCAGCAGCUGGGAAUAUUGGGCAAUGGGGGAAACCUUGACCCAGCGACACCGCGUGUGGGAUGACAGCCUUCGGGUCGUAAACCACUGUCAGGGGGGAAGAAAGCCGGGCUCGCGAAUAGCUAGUACCGGUUGACUGUACUCUCAGAGGAAGCCAUGGCUAACUCUGUGCCAGCAGCAGCGGUAAAACAGAGAUGGCAAGCGUUGUCCGGAAUUACUGGGCGUAAAGGGCGUGUAGGCGGUCAAGCAUGUCAGUCGUGAAAGGCGUCGGCUCAACCGAAGCACUGCGACUGAAACGGCAGGACUGGAGGACAGGAGAGGAAAGAGGAAUUCUCGGUGUAGCAGUGAAAUGCGUAGAUAUCGGGAAGAACACCAAUGGCGAAAGCGACUUUCUGGCCUGUUUCUGACGCUGAGGCGCGAAAGCCAGGGGAGCAAACGGGAUUAGAUACCCCGGUAGUCCUGGCUGUAAACGAUGGACACUAGGUGUGGGGGAGUUCUCUCCUCCGUGCCGCAGGUAACCCGUUAAGUGUCCCGCCUGGGGACUACGGCCGCAAGGUUGAAACUCAAAGAAAUUGACGGGGGCCCGCACAAGCGGUGGAGCAUGUGGCUCAAUUCGACGCAACGCGAGGAACCUUACCAGGGUUUGACAUGUCUUCGACAGUCCUCGAAAGGGGAUUUUCUCGCAAGGGACGGUGACACAGGUGCUGCAUGGCUGUCGUCAGCUCGUGUCGUGAGAUGUUGGGUUAAGUCCUUUAACGAGCGAAACCCUUGCCGUUAGUUGCCAGCGGGUAAUGCCGGGGACUCUAGCAGGACUGCCGGUGUAAAAC